This 381-nucleotide ribosomal RNA is filed under the name Ozius tenuidactylus. RNAcentral describes it as "partial 12S ribosomal RNA". The record is from RNAcentral. Lineage: Eukaryota; Metazoa; Arthropoda; Malacostraca; Decapoda; Oziidae.
GAUACCCUACUAUACUAGAAGAAUGGUUAGUAAGCUAGAUUAUUAAUAGAUAUGUUCUUUAAAUUUGAAGAAUUUGGCGGUGAUUUAGUCUUGUCAGAGGAACCUGUUUUUGAAUCGAUAAACCACGCAGAAUCUUACUCACUUUUGUUAAUAUUACAGCUUAUAUACCAUCAUUAGCAGAUAAUUUUAAAAGAAAUAAUUAUUAAAGUUUAUAAAGUUAAAUAAAAUUAGAUCAAGGUGUAGCUUAUAAGUGAGUUAAAAUGGGUUACAAUGAAAUUUAUUUAUUACGUAAAAAUUAAGGAAUAAAUUAAUUUAAAGGAGGAUUUGAUUGUAAUGUAAGUUUAAUAUGCUUAGGAGAUAUAAGCCCUAAAUCAUGUACAU